CUCGUGUCGUGAGAUGUUGGGUUAAGGUACCCGCCAACGAGCGCAACCCUUACGUGUUUAGUUGCAAACAAGGUCAAGCUGUGCACUCUAGACAGACUGCCGUGGACAACACGGAGGAAGGUGGGAGUGACGUCAAAUCAUCAUGCCCCUUAUGAUCUGGGCUACACACGUGCUACAAUGGCCGGUACAACGGGCAGCGAAGGAGCGAUCCGGAGCGAAUCCUAAAAAGCCGGUCCCAGUUCGGAUUGCAGGCUGAAACUCGCCUACAUGAAGUUGGAGUUGCUAGUAAUCGCGAAUCAGAAUGUCGCGGUGAAUGCGUUCCCGGGUCUU
RNAcentral lists this ribosomal RNA (330 nucleotides) under uncultured Fusibacter sp. RNAcentral describes it as "bacterial SSU rRNA". It matches the Rfam family "Bacterial small subunit ribosomal RNA", at positions 1059 to 1382 of the family's 1533-position model. The record is from RNAcentral. Lineage: Bacteria; Bacillati; Bacillota; Clostridia; Eubacteriales; Fusibacteraceae.